AACUUUUAACAAUGGAUCUCUUGGCUCUCGCAUCGACGAAGAACGCAGCGAAAUGCGAUACGUAAUGUGAAUUGCAGAAUUCAGUGAAUCAUCGAAUCUUUGAACGCACCUUGCGCCCCUUGGCAUUCCGAGGGGCACACCCGUUUGAGUGUCGUGAAAUUCUCAAACCUUCUUGGUUUCUUGAUCAAGAUGGCUUUGGACUUUGGAGUCAUUUUGCUGGCUUUGCGAAAAGCCAGCUCCUCUUAAAUACAUUAGUGGGAUCCCCUUUGCCGAUCCCCAGGCGUGAUAAGAUAUUUCUACGUCUUGGGAUUUGCUCUGUUCCUUGGGAACCCGCUUCCAACCGUCUCAUGGGAGACAUCGUUCGAGUUUGCUCGACCCACGAACCUUGACCUCAAAUCGGGUGAGACUACCCGCUGAACUUAAGCAUAUCAAUAAGCGGAGGCU
This 444-nucleotide unclassified non-coding RNA is filed under the name uncultured Russula. RNAcentral's name for it is "sequence contains ITS2". The stretch from base 1 to 154 matches the Rfam family "5.8S ribosomal RNA". Lineage: Eukaryota; Fungi; Basidiomycota; Agaricomycetes; Russulales; Russulaceae. The record is from RNAcentral.